This is a long non-coding RNA of Lolium perenne, 2890 nucleotides long. RefSeq lists it as uncharacterized. Lineage: Eukaryota; Viridiplantae; Streptophyta; Magnoliopsida; Poales; Poaceae. The record is from RefSeq and is a predicted model, not a curated record.
UGACUCGGUUUGCCCGUGUUGCUUAUCCAUUGUUGGAGCUGUGGCUGAUUCCUGCUACGUGCUAUACCGGCCACUCGCCCCUACGUUGCCUUGCUGAUGCCCCGGCGGGGAGGACGAGCUCAACAGAUGGCAUGCCCUGUGCUCCGGCGAAGUUGGCUCCACGUCUCAUGCCGCCCGCCUUCUCCGUCGCACAAGGAGAACAACAUGAGACAAUCGUCUCAAUGGCCGUGCUGGCGCUUUGUUUCUCUCCAGGUGAUAUAGAUCUUCAGACAUCGAGGAUGAAGACGCGGGGAGGUUUGACCGGCGCGGGCGCCCGUGAGGCUUGCUGGCGGCACCGGAUGCGGCGAGGACCGAACCAUAUCGGCACAGGCGGCGAGGACGGAGACGGCAGCCUCGACAACGUCCCCAACAGCGACACCAGUUACUGCGGCGUGAUGCAGGAGCAGGAGCCCCAGUCAGCGCAAUCGCUGCCAGGCGGUGGCUCGGCGAAGAUACAGACUUGCAGAGGCGGGCUAAUACCGGAGCUCAACAUCCGCCGGCAGGUCCUCGAACCUAAGCAAGUGGCGGCCGCGUGGCCGCCGGCGCGUUUCCGACUCCACGGCAAGCGGCAACGUCGGCGGCUAAAGCGGGAAGUGCGCGUCCGUGAUGGACAGAUAAGCCUCCGGCUGUAGCACUCUGCAUUUUUUUUUCUCUUUCUUCCUUUGACACCCCCGUUUCUAUCAUUUGCAGGACCAGUGGCGGAAGAAAACGAGCCAAUCACAAAGAAUCCUUCUCCCCAGCUUUUCUCACCUCCUACACAGCAUCUUAUCUCUUUAAUUUGCCGUUCGAGUGCUCGAUCUGUUUUCCAUUUUUUCCUCUCCUCUUAAUACCUUCCGUAAUCUGAUUAUUGCAUCGUUUCAGGCGGUUCAUGAGUUUGAUGUACUAGAUGGAGGUACAUUCAGUUCAGAAUCUGCAGACCUGAAGAAUGUUGGUGUACAUGUAAGUAUGUAUCUGGCUACUUCCAUUUUGGCAUUUGGAUCUGGGUAGCCUGAUGUUCAGCUCGCCGUCAUCAAUGAAGGUUGACGCAGAAUGUAUAAGCAUCAAGGUUUCCCUACUUCAAGCCACAUAAUGACAAUGGAUGUCAUUCCUUGCAAAUUUGAGUUCUCAAGGUAUAGUUCACCGUCAAUGCUCCUGCGCUUGCUCAAUUUGUUGAGGUCUGAGCGAUUUUCUUAAAUAUAGCUUACAUUUGUUUCAGCUUUCAUACCCUAUACAACUCAAUUUUCUGUACUAUCUAACAUAAUGUUGCUGAUUUAUGUAAAGUUAACAUCCUCUGCUAUUUCUUACUACGCAAUUUAUAUCACUCAAUUUGAGAGUACAUCUGGUUCAUGUCUCGAAAAAUAAGAAUUUAAACAAAUAAGACGAUAGUGCAAGCGAACAAUGUUUUCUGAAAUUUCCUUUCCCCGUAAAAUUGUUAUGUUUCCUUGGCGAAAGCUGCUAUCCCAUUAGUUAUUCCUUUUAAAAAUGUGAAGGACAGAAGGUAUAAACAUCAAGGUUUCCCCAUUUCAAGCCACAGAAUGACAGUGGAUGUCAUUCCUUGCAAAUUUGAGUUCUGAAGGUGUAGCUCACCGUCAAUGCUCGAUGAAAGAUAUUGUGAUUUACAUUUCACAUGGUACAUUUCAUAGCUUUAUUUUUAUUUUCCUCGACCAUUUUUUAUUAUGUCUAGAUUCAUGGGAAGAACAUGGCCAAGAGGGUUGGUGGAUUUUAUGCUUGCUAUAUACUCACUUGUAUGAUAUGUUGAGAUCAAGGAUUCAAUUCAGAUCAAGGCUUUUAUGCAAAUCUUCAUGUCUAGAUUCUCUGCCGGCUGAUAUCUGUAACAAGAUUAGUUCUGAACUGUGUGUUUGUUGGCGCUGGUUCCCUGGAGUUCUGUUGUUGAAACCACCUUGAUCUGCUAAUUCUUUUUUCCUUCAUUACUGCUGUAUAGGCUCUUCUACUGCUCCCGCCUCCAUGUUCUUUGUAUCUUUAACCGUUUUCUACCUUAAUAUAAGUGAAAACAGGGCUGCUUUCUACUCUACCUUUUCCGUGUGAACCUUGAGUCGGGCUCCCCUCUUUUCGUGCUUAUGGAUUAGCUAGCAGCAUUUACUUUCGAGUACCGAGUACGCCUGCGAGAAGACUUACUAAGGCUUGCGCCAAGGUCCACUACUAUGUCCACUAUCGAUAAGGGUGCUUUAGAUUUUUGGAAUUCCGAUAUGCUGAAAUAAACAUGAUAUUUCUUGUUUGAGAAGAUAAUAUGUACGAUAUUUCGGCGAGGCCCAUUAACCCAAGUGCUUGCUUAUUUGCUGCCCAUCUACACCAUGGAUGCAUAUAAGAGCAAUUGUGACGGUUUAGUGAAAUACAAUCCGUGGAUGAGACUCCUACAACCUGAAUAAAGGUAUUUUGGAUAAUUGUUUCGACCUCUACAAGCAUGUACUAUGUGCCUCACAUGGUAUAACUAUGAAGAAGUGCUUGAUGAAUCUGUACAUGACGGCACAUACGGGCUGCUUCCAGGUGGUCAUCACUGAUAACCAAUAUCACAUUGGUGCUUUGGUUCGGAUUAGGAGUCUUCAUGAUGUUCUGCCAUUGUUUGCCUAGAUAGUUGGUGUGCCAUGAAAGUACCUAUUUUAUUUUUUCCCGCUAUUGUCUUCUAACUGACAGAUAUGUUACGUUGGUAGACGAUACAUCCAAGGUAUGUUUCCUAAAUGGAGUCAAAAUUUGAAAUUUAUCUCCUGAUCUUGAGAUAUGAAGCAAUUAUUUGUCUCAGGAAAAGAGAGGGUCUAAUUCAACUGUGAUGACUUUUGCAAUUUGAACAGUGUAUUACUAUUUCUCAUUGUAAGCCGAAUUAUUUUAUUACUAUCUGAAAAAUGUCCUCGCACAA